This is an RNA transcript of Medicago truncatula (barrel medic), 538 nucleotides long. It is a transcript of the gene named ribosomal RNA-processing protein 7, with no coding region annotated. The transcript is spliced from 3 exons. The record is from RefSeq and is a predicted model, not a curated record. Lineage: Eukaryota; Viridiplantae; Streptophyta; Magnoliopsida; Fabales; Fabaceae.
GAACAAACAUAAAGGAAAACAAAACAACCCAAUAUAGACCUAUUCCUCCUUCAUGCUUCACUUCUCAUAUUGUCUUGCCCUCAAAGUUCUAACACCUUUCUCUUCCUUAAGAAAGAAAAGCAAAAGAAGCCCUUGCUGCAGAAGGAGGAUGGACGGUGGUUCGGCACCACAAGGGGCUCGGUUGCUCAAGCUGCUGCAAAGAAUAAAUUGGCCAAAAAGAAACAUACAGGAGUUCAUCAAGAUUUCUACCGCUUUCAAGAAAGAGAAGCUCAGAGAAAUGAGCUAAUGGAAUUGCAAAGCAAAUUUGAAGAGGAUAAAAAACGUCUGCGACAGUUGAGAGCUGCUAGGAAAUUUAGACCUUAUUAAAUGAUGUUUAUUGCAGCAAAGGUCCCAGGUUCUUUUCUUGGGGGAGUGGAUUUAAUUCACGAAGUACUGAAGUUGAAUUAUCCUUUAGUCCUGACGAAUUUUGUUCAUUUACCAUUCCAAUUUUGUCAAAAAUAUUUGUUAAUUUACGAAGUAUUUAUUUUAAUUUGAGUUA